This 274-nucleotide ribosomal RNA is filed under the name uncultured bacterium. RNAcentral describes it as "partial 16S ribosomal RNA". It matches the Rfam family "Bacterial small subunit ribosomal RNA", at positions 523 to 796 of the family's 1533-position model. The record is from RNAcentral.
CUACAGAGGGUGCGAGCGUUAAUCGGAAUUACUGGGCGUAAAGCGCGCGUAGGCGGUCUAUUAAGUCAGAUGUGAAAUCCCAGGGCUCAACCUUGGAACUGCAUCUGAUACUGGUAGACUAGAGUUUUGGAGAGGGAAGUAGAAUUUCAGGUGUAGCGGUGAAAUGCAUAGAGAUCUGAAGGAAUACCAGUGGCGAAGGCGACUUCCUGGCCAAAAACUGACGCUGAGGUGCGAAAGCGUGGGUAGCAAACGGGAUUAGAUACCCCAGUAGUCC